AGCCGGACAGAGCGUAGGGCGGGGCUUGAGGGGAGGAGUCGGCGGCGCUCUCUGUGCGUGCUGGGGCCGUGGCGUGGGGCGGGGCUUGCUGCUGAGAGACCCUGCGUUCUCAGCGCUCCAGGGGCGGCGGGCGGAGCUUGAGGAGGGGAGUCACAGCCCGCGCACCGAAACCGGGGGCGGGGCCCGGACAGGGCUGUUACGUCUCAGUUCCAAGCCCCUGGACUGAAAACCGGAAACCCAGAGUUUUGGUUUCGCAAGAGGCCUUCCGACGUGCGCUAUUGCCCGGGAGCUACGUCUGGCGAGGUCUCUCCCUGCUCAGUAGGUGAAGAAGCGCUGGAGAAACCUCAACCUGGACAGGGGAGAGUUCUUGACUCUGGGCGAGAAAGAAUUCUGGACAGGUCAGAGGAGUGUAAGUAAGGGAGGAAUUCAUUAAAGCAAGAGCAGCAGGGAAUGGCAGCUGCCUUGCAGGCUGCAGAGAACAGAUAACAUCAACAUACAAAAGAGAAGAAAGUAACACUUCUUGGAUCAAAAAAGCAGAAGCUGUGGGAUCAUGCCGGCUCAGAUUCACCAGUACUGGCCCUAAGUCAGCUCUGUGGAACCCUAACUUUAAAACUACAGGGCCAACUUGCCAGAUGGGUGAAUGGAAAGGAAGGUCACAUGUCCUCUAAAAGGAAAUCAACAGUUAGCCCCCAACUCGACUGGCACCUGGAAACCACCAACAGGAAAGGGCUGGACUCACUUGUGA
Long non-coding RNA from Manis pentadactyla (Chinese pangolin), 745 nucleotides. RefSeq lists it as uncharacterized. The transcript is spliced from 3 exons. NCBI's taxonomy places the organism in Eukaryota, Metazoa, Chordata, Mammalia, Pholidota, Manidae. The record is from RefSeq and is a predicted model, not a curated record.